GGGUUCGAUUCCGGAGAGGGAGCCUGAGAAACGGCUACCACAUCUAAGGAAGGCAGCAGGCGCGCAAAUUACCCAAUUCUAACAGCAUAAGAGAGGUAGUGACAAGAAAUAACAAUACAAGGCAGUUAAAAUGCUUUGUAAUUGGAAUGAUAGAAAUUUAAACACUUUUUAAAGUAUCAAUUGGAGGGCAAGUCUGGUGCCAGCAGCCGCGGUAAUUCCAGCUCCAAUAGCGUAUAUUAAAAUUGUUGCAGUUAAAAAGCUCGUAGUUGAAUUUCUGCUAAAAAUAACCGGUCUGCUUUUAACAAAAGUGGUAUCUUGGUCUGUUUUUAGCAAUAAUGUCCUUUGAAAUGUGUUUUACUUUGUUGUAAAAGACAAUAUUCAGGAUUUUUACUUUGAGAAAAUUAGAGUGUUUCUAGCAGGCUAAUGUUUUGAAUACUGCAGCAUGGAAUAAUAAAAUAUGAUUUUGGUUCUACAUUGUUGGUUUU
Molecule: ribosomal RNA, 485 nt
Filed under: Hepatozoon sp. DB1562
Lineage: Eukaryota; Apicomplexa; Hepatozoidae
Description: bacterial SSU rRNA
Rfam family: Eukaryotic small subunit ribosomal RNA
Source: RNAcentral